Carassius auratus (goldfish) is the source of this 375-nucleotide long non-coding RNA. RefSeq lists it as uncharacterized. The record is from RefSeq and is a predicted model, not a curated record. NCBI's taxonomy places the organism in Eukaryota, Metazoa, Chordata, Actinopteri, Cypriniformes, Cyprinidae. The transcript has 5 exons.
UUUAGAAAAAGUUUAAGUACGAUGGUGAGAUUCAGGUGCUUCAUCAAGCAACCAUUGCCACCAGUAAGAAGGGGAGUGGGAAAGACCUGGCUGUACAAGCUGGGGAGACUGUGGAUGUCAUCAGCAAAUCUGACCCUGACAAAUUCAUCUGUAGGAACAAGGAUGGCAAAUUUGGAUAUGUCUUAGCCAUCAACAUCCAAACAGAUGAUGAGGUCUAUGAUGACAUUGGAGAUGACUGCAUCUAUGACAAUGACUGAAGACCUCACACCAUCAUCUCAUCUUCAUCUUCUGGUGCAGCUUAUUAUUUCUGGCUCUUAUUGUCUUCUUGGUUGUUGAUGUUGAGUAUAUUUAUUGUAUAGACACUUGUAGUAUUAG